CUCAUAUCUACUGAGCAUUCAUGAAGUGAGGCGCCAUGUGCCUUGCUCUGGCCAGCCCAGGACAGGCCAGCCGCUCUUGGCCUGCUACGGUCGCUCCGCUUCGGCUCUGUUCUGGUUCCAUCAUCUCUGGGUGGAACAGCAGCCCCCCACAUCAGGUGGCAGCGGGCGUCCGCUCUGGAAUAAGCCUCAGCCUCCCUCCUGCCCCACAGCUCUGUGGUGUCUUCUGGACCAGCUUCCUGCCCUCCGCCCGGCCUCCCUGGGCUCAUCCAUCUAUUAUUCACAGCACAAAAUGGAUUUUUAAUUUGAGAAAUGAAAUGACUCUCCCAAGUGGCCAGUGUGGCAAGGAGGGGUGGAGGAAGGCUGGAGCCGCAGGACGGUCACGUGGUUCUGACUCAGGCUCUCCCUGGCAAGGCCUGAGUGACAGCAUCCCAUCCCUGCCAUCAUCCUGUUCUAGAUGACUGUUAGUGCCAUCGUCACAUCACCUCAUCUAUCACCAUCA
This 499-nucleotide long non-coding RNA is filed under the name Ictidomys tridecemlineatus (thirteen-lined ground squirrel). RNAcentral describes it as "lncRNA (ENSSTOG00000033599.1)". The record is from RNAcentral. Lineage: Eukaryota; Metazoa; Chordata; Mammalia; Rodentia; Sciuridae.